UACGUAGGGGGCAAGCGUUGUCCGGAUUUAUUGGGCGUAAAGAGCUCGUAGGCGGUUGGGCAAGUCACGUGUGAAAUCUCCACGCUCAACGUGGAGGCGCCACGUGAGACUGCCCUGACUCGAGUCCGGUAGGGGAGCGUGGAAUUCCCGGUGUAGCGGUGAAAUGCGCAGAGAUCGGGAGGAACACCCGUAGCGAAGGCGGCGCUCUGGGCCGGUACUGACGCUGAGGUGCGAAAGCGUGGGGAGCAAACAGG
RNAcentral lists this ribosomal RNA (254 nucleotides) under uncultured bacterium. RNAcentral's name for it is "partial 16S ribosomal RNA". It matches the Rfam family "Bacterial small subunit ribosomal RNA", at positions 524 to 776 of the family's 1533-position model. The record is from RNAcentral.